This 228-nucleotide ribosomal RNA is filed under the name uncultured bacterium. RNAcentral describes it as "partial 16S ribosomal RNA". It matches the Rfam family "Bacterial small subunit ribosomal RNA", at positions 111 to 334 of the family's 1533-position model. The record is from RNAcentral.
UAACGCGUAGGUAACCUGCCUUGUAGCGGGGGAUAACUAUUGGAAACGAUAGCUAAUACCGCAUAACAAUGGAUGACCCAUGUCAUUUAUUUGAAAGGGGCAAAUGCUCCACUACAAGAUGGACCUGCGUUGUAUUAGCUAGUAGGUGAGGUAACGGCUCACCUAGGCGACGAUACAUAGCCGACCUGAGAGGGUGAUCGGCCACACUGGGACUGAGACACGGCCCAG